ACGGAGGAUGCGAGCGUUAUCCGGAUUUAUUGGGUUUAAAGGGUGCGUAGGCGGAUUUGUAAGUCAGUGGUGAAAGACUGUCGCUUAACGAUAGCAUUGCCAUUGAUACUGCAGAUCUUGAGUAUAAUUGAGGUGGGCGGAAUGUGUAGUGUAGCGGUGAAAUGCUUAGAUAUUACACAGAACACCGAUUGCGAAGGCAGCUCACUAAACUAUAACUGACGCUGAGGCACGAAAGCGUGGGGAUCAAACA
This 250-nucleotide ribosomal RNA is filed under the name uncultured bacterium. Its description in RNAcentral is "partial 16S ribosomal RNA". It matches the Rfam family "Bacterial small subunit ribosomal RNA", at positions 525 to 774 of the family's 1533-position model. The record is from RNAcentral.